RNAcentral lists this ribosomal RNA (534 nucleotides) under uncultured bacterium. RNAcentral's name for it is "bacterial SSU rRNA". It matches the Rfam family "Bacterial small subunit ribosomal RNA", at positions 29 to 463 of the family's 1533-position model. The record is from RNAcentral.
AGUGAACGCUGGCGGCGUGCCUAACACAUGCAAGUCGAACGGGCUAGUGCUUCGCACUAGUCUCUUUCUGGGGUUGUUACUCUAAGGCUACCUGCUAAGGUUAUUGCUUUAAAGCAGGGGUUUUAGGAGACUUUCCCCGAAAGGGGCCAGUGCGGAGCACUGGCCAGUGGCGAACGGGUGAGUAACACGUGGGUAAUCUACCCUCGAGUGGGGAAUAAGCUUCCGAAAGGGGGUCUAAUGCCGCAUAACGUUUCAUAACGAUGGUUAUGAAACCAAAGCCCAAAAGGCGCUCGAGGAGGAGCCUGCGUCCUAUCAGCUUGUUGGCAGGGGUAAUGGCCUACCAAGGCUAUGACGGGUAGCCGGCCUGAGAGGGUGUCCGGCCACACUGGAACUGAGACACGGUCCAGACUCCUACGGGAGGCAGCAGUGGGGAAUUUUGCGCAAUGGGGGAAACCCUGACGCAGCGACGCCGCGUGGAGGAUGACGGCCUCGGGUUGUAACGUCCUGUCAGAAGGACGAAGUACCGCGAGGACG